Molecule: unclassified non-coding RNA, 433 nt
Filed under: soil metagenome
Description: partial contains 5.8S ribosomal RNA, internal transcribed spacer 2, and large subunit ribosomal RNA
Rfam family: 5.8S ribosomal RNA (bases 1-120)
Source: RNAcentral
GAUGAAGAACGUAGCGAAAUGCGAUACGUAAUGUGAAUUGCAGAAUUCAGUGAAUCAUCGAAUCUUUGAACGCAUAUUGCGCUCUCUGGUAUUCCGGAGAGCAUGCUUGUUUGAGUAUCAGUAAACACCUCAACUUCCAUAUCUUUUUUGAAAUGGGAGUUGGACUUGAGUGAUCCCAACGCUUUUCCUCACCGAAACGUGGCGGGUUACUUGAAAUGCAGGUGCAGCUGGACUUUUCUCUGAGCUAUAAGCAUAUCUAUUUAGUCUGCCUAAAAAACAGAUUAUUCACUUUGCUGCAGCUAACAUAAAGGAGAUUAGUUCUUGUGCUGACUGAUGCAGGAUUCACAAAGACAGGCUUCGGCCGACUUUGUAAACUCGAUCUCAAAUCAAGUAAGACUACCCGCUGAACUUAAGCAUAUCAAUAAGCGGAGGA